This 254-nucleotide ribosomal RNA is filed under the name uncultured bacterium. RNAcentral describes it as "partial 16S ribosomal RNA". It matches the Rfam family "Bacterial small subunit ribosomal RNA", at positions 524 to 776 of the family's 1533-position model. The record is from RNAcentral.
UACGUAGGGCGCAAGCGUUGUUCGGAUUUACUGGGCGUAAAGGGCGCGUAGGCGGCCACCGCAAGUCGACUGUGAAAUCUCCGGGCUUAACCCGGAAAGGUCAGCCGAUACUGCGGGGCUAGAGUGCAGAAGGGGCAACUGGAAUUCUCGGUGUAGCGGUGAAAUGCGUAGAUAUCGAGAGGAACACCUGCGGCGAAGGCGGGUUGCUGGGCUGACACUGACGCUGAGGCGCGAAAGCUAGGGGAGCGAACGGG